CGGGCCUUGCGCUAUCAGAUGAGCCUAGGUCGGAUUAGCUAGUUGGUGAGGUAAUGGCUCACCAAGGCGACGAUCCGUAACUGGUCUGAGAGGAUGAUCAGUCACACUGGAACUGAGACACGGUCCAGACUCCUACGGGAGGCAGCAGUGGGGAAUAUUGGACAAUGGGCGAAAGCCUGAUCCAGCCAUGCCGCGUGUGUGAAGAAGGUCUUCGGAUUGUAAAGCAAAGGAGUGGGAGGAAGGGCAGUUACCUAA
RNAcentral lists this ribosomal RNA (255 nucleotides) under uncultured bacterium. RNAcentral describes it as "partial 16S ribosomal RNA". It matches the Rfam family "Bacterial small subunit ribosomal RNA", at positions 207 to 463 of the family's 1533-position model. The record is from RNAcentral.